GAUUGCCUCAGUAACGGCGAGUGAAGCGGCAACAGCUCAAAUUUGAAAUCUGGCUCCUCCGGGGUCCGAGUUGUAAUUUGUAGAGGAUGUUUCGGGUGCGGCGCCGGUCGAAGUCCCUUGGAACAGGGUGUCACAGAGGGUGAGAAUCCCGUACGUGGCCGGUGACCAAGCCCAUGUGAAACUCCUUCGACGAGUCGAGUUGUUUGGGAAUGCAGCUCAAAAUGGGUGGUAAAUUUCAUCUAAAGCUAAAUACCGGCCAGAGACCGAUAGCGCACAAGUAGAGUGAUCGAAAGAUGAAAAGCACUUUGGAAAGAGAGUUAAAAAGUACGUGAAAUUGUUGAAAGGGAAGCGCUUGCGACCAGACCUGCCCGUGGGUGCUCAGCGGGGGUUUGCCCCCGUGCACUCGCCCACGAUCAGGCCAGCAUCAGUUCCGGCGACCGGAUAAAGGCCCGAGGAAUGUAGCUCCCCUCGGGGAGUGUUAUAGCCUCGGGCGGCAUACGGCCAGCUGGGACUGAGGACCGCGCUUCGGCAAGGAUGCUGGCGUAAUGGUUGCAAGCGACCCGUCUUGAAACACGGACCAAGGAGUCUAACAUCUAUGCGAGUGUUUGGGUGUCAAACCCAUGCGCGCAAUGAAAGUGAACGGAGGUCAGAGCCCUUUAGGGUGCAUGAUCGACCGAUCCUGAAGUUUACGGAUGGAUUUGAGUAUGAGCAUAGCUGUUGGGACCCGAAAGAUGGUGAACUAUGCCUGAAUAGGGUGAAGCCAGAGGAAACUCUGGUGGAGGCUCGCAGCGGUUCUGACGUGCAAAUCGAUCGUCAAAUUUGGGUAUAGGGGCGAAAGACUAAUCGAACCAUGAUCAUACUAGGUGGUUAAGCAGGGUGAAGCGGUACUCUCAGCCUCUCGAGGCGACAAUGCUAGGUGCAUAGACCCCGUGAAAGGGAUAUGCAGCGGGGGCGAGAGCCCCCGUCCACAGACCAAAUAGCAUUGGCUGGCGGGUGACCGCCGGUUGUGAUAUGGCCGAGUCCCCCCUCCGCGCGGAG
This 1038-nucleotide ribosomal RNA is filed under the name Bacidia schweinitzii. Its description in RNAcentral is "eukaryotic LSU rRNA". It matches the Rfam family "Eukaryotic large subunit ribosomal RNA", at positions 73 to 1396 of the family's 3401-position model. Lineage: Eukaryota; Fungi; Ascomycota; Lecanoromycetes; Lecanorales; Ramalinaceae. The record is from RNAcentral.